RNAcentral lists this long non-coding RNA (406 nucleotides) under Erythranthe guttata (spotted monkey flower). Its description in RNAcentral is "long non-coding RNA (EGUT_LNC000409)". Lineage: Eukaryota; Viridiplantae; Streptophyta; Magnoliopsida; Lamiales; Phrymaceae. The record is from RNAcentral.
GAAAUUUCGGAAAAUCGGAAAUUUUCGGAAAUUUUGUUCCAAGAAGUUUUUUAUUAUAGUCAGUAAAAUCAAUGCAAAAGUAGAAAACAAUGCUAAAAUAUUUUCACAAUCAAAAGGUUUCAUAAAUCGAAUCAAAAGUUAUAAAUCAAACGUGUAACAAAAAUAACAAAAAGCAGACAAAAAGAAUAAAAUAAAUUUGAAGAGACAAGACCUAGAAACGAGAACAAAAUCCAUGCCAAAUAAAACUUCAUAUUUCACCAUCUUUCUUCCGUGAACAAUACCUUCAGCAAAAGAUCUGUGUAUUUUAAGAAGAGAUCUUGGGCAAAGAUUAAAGAUUUAAUUUUGAAGAAAAAAUGGGAGAAAGAGGCAGAAAGUAAAGAAACGGAAGAAGCGGCGGAUGAAAAUG